UUGAGUUGCUGUUCGAUUUGUUUGUAUCUCGUUUUUUUUCGUUUUGUAAAUUCAUAUGCUGUUAAUGAACUUGGGAAGAAGAAAAUGCGGCUCGAGUAGUUGGAAUAUUUGCGUUGAAGGUGCUCGAAACACAUUUGAAAUUAAUUAAAAAGCUGUCAAGAGCAGAUGGAGGCGUUCACAACUACCAUGCUGCCUGUCGGAGUGGAGUUUUAUGCUCUGCAUGGAGUUCAACUCGAAUUGGGGGAGUUCGUGUUCAUGUGUUGAAGCCAUAGCAAAUUACACGUAUUACGUAUACGCGGCGCAUUACGUAUACGCAUUGUGUGGUAGCAAAAGAAAAGGCAGGCGCCGGAAAUUACCAGUUCCUUUAUCAAGGAAACCUUUUAAAACGCAUAAUAACGAAAAUUUGAAAGAGAUAAAAGACGUACGUGGGCCGGCAACGGAAAUGAUUAUAUCUCCUUGGCAUGGCCCAAGCACAAGCACAAGCACCGAAUUGGAGUUUGAGAGCAGGUGACGCAGCAGCUGAAGCACGAAAUGGAGGCUGGCCAUUGUUGGCAACGUUGUUGUCAUUGCGGCGGCCAUUGUUCCAUUGCCAUUUCCAGUGCAAUUUUCAUUUGGCCGUUGU
Molecule: long non-coding RNA, 622 nt
Organism: Drosophila sulfurigaster albostrigata
Lineage: Eukaryota; Metazoa; Arthropoda; Insecta; Diptera; Drosophilidae
Exons: 2
Source: RefSeq, a predicted model, not a curated record